RNA transcript from Ictalurus furcatus (blue catfish), 2266 nucleotides. It is a transcript of the gene named cilia and flagella associated protein 53, with no coding region annotated. The record is from RefSeq and is a predicted model, not a curated record. NCBI's taxonomy places the organism in Eukaryota, Metazoa, Chordata, Actinopteri, Siluriformes, Ictaluridae. The transcript is spliced from 9 exons.
CCGUGGCAACACUUCCUCAAACAGGAGCCGUUAAAUAGAAGGGUUUUUCUUUACGCUCCUUUAUCAAAUUGAAAGUUUUUCUGUCGGUGAUUGGGCAGAUAUGCAGGUUGGACAGAGAAGCCAAGCUCAGUGUCGGGAAUUUACCGGCCCUACACCUCACUCAGUGGCGGUGCGAGCCAGACAGUCAUCAUGCAGAAAAUCAGAUUACCUUAUCGUGGAACGAAGGAAACAGGAGGAUGCUCGCAACAACGUGCUGGAGUUUACCAAGGACCAUCGUGCCUGCGAUGUGAGAAUGCGCUGGGAAAUGAACACCGAGCAGAGGAUGGUGUCGGCCACUAUCGGGCGGCGCGUCCAUGAGGCAAUGGAACAGUACGAGAUGAGCAUCGAUGAACGGAGAGAAAAGUUGCGUAAAAUGUUGGAAUCUGAGGAGAGAGAAUUGUUGCGAGAAAUGGAGGCAAAGGAAGACACUGUGCUUGACAGGCAAGCCAGGAUGCGCGAGAGAGCAAAGUACCUGCAGGAGAAAAGAGAGAGGGAGAGGCAGAAGGUGGUUGCUGAGAAGCUUGAUCAACUCUUCAGAGAGCAGAGUGAGGAACUGCGGGUCAUGUACACGCGUCGACAACUGGACGAGGUCUGCACGGAGCGUGCCGCACAGAUCCAAACACAACGAGAAGAGCGUCAACUGCAGCAGGAGGAAGAAAUGCUGUUUGCACAGCUGUGGGAAGGAGAUCGUCUGGCUAAAGAGCAACGAGAGAACCUGCAGGCUCAGCGUCAGAGAGAGAAUAACUUGCAGCAGCUGGCUGUCCUGCGCAGUCAGAUGGAGGCUGCAGAGCAACAAAAGCUUCAGGCUAAACAGCUCAAAGAAGAAGAGGCCCAGUUACUGCGAGAUCAGAGGGAGAUGAUGCGUCUGGAAGAACACCGGGAGCAAAGACGAAAGCUCCAGGAUCAGGAGAGCUGGUGCAAACAGCUAGACAUCUCGCUGCGUCUGAAAAUGAAGCGUCUGGCACGGGAACAGCAGGAGGAUCUGGCGUUGGACAUGAGCAUCCUGGAGCUUACACUGCUUACACCGGUGAAGGACGAGAAAAAAGAAGAGACUCUGAGGAAGUUGGAACUGCGUGAGGAGCAGCGCAGGUAUCGGCAGUACCUGGCAGAGCAGCUGGAGGAGCAGAGAAAGCACGAGGCAGAGACGGAGCAGCUGAUCGAGGCUGAGCUGCAGCAGACGUGGAACCGCAGAGCGGAGCAAAACCGUCUUGUGAAAGAAGCCAAAGACCGGCUCAUGAAAGAUGUUAUGGACACACGGCGCUUACAAAUUCAGGAACAGUUGGAGAGGAAUGCUCAGAAACAGGCUGAACUGGCUAAGGAGAGAGACGAGCUGAAUAGAACCAUCCAGGAGAACAAGCUGCUGGACGAACAGGAAAAAACACGUUUUCCUUCACUGGCACUAAGGGGCCCAAACAUGCUCCAGCAUGACAAUGCUCCUGUUCACAAAGCUAGUGUCGUAGAAAUCGUGUGUCCUGCACAGAGUACUGACCUCAACCCCUCGGAACACCUUUGGGAUGAACUGGAGCACAGACUGAACCUCACGCCCCCUCACCCACGUUCACUAAUGCUCUUGUGGCUGAAUGAGCACAAAUCCCCACAACCACACUCCAAAAUCUAGUGGACAGCCUUCCCAGAUAAGUGGUGAUUAUUAUAAUAGCAAAGGGGAAUAUAUCUGGAAUGGGAUGUUCAAAGAGCACAUAUGGGUGUGAUGGUCAGGUUUCCAAAAAACGUUGGCUAUAUAGUGUAUUUCCUCUCAUUUUUAAAUCAGUUAUUUUCUAAUGGAGGAGCACGACCCAGUUCAAAGUGGAACUAGAGUAUAAUACGAUUUUCUUUACUUUCACAUUUUCAGUAAAACGCUGCUUACUCUAGAAAGCAGAAUUCAUACUAAACUGUACAAGAAAACAAAAUAAAAACCCAACAACUCUACAUGGUGACGUUUUGUUCAUGAUAGCAAGUCUCACUCUGUCUUAAACCACAUCAGCAAGUCUUGUCACUGAGGAACUAGAUGUGAUGUGAUGUGGCAGAUUGUCAGGACCAUGUUACCCAUCAUCCCCUGCACAUCACGAGAUCAUGCACACCCGAGUCAUUCUCAGGGAGGCGGGUCAGGAAUAUCAAGCUUGUCUGUUGGCUCAGAUUUUGCACAAGCAGAGGCUGUGUGAUGUCGAGCAGGCCGAGAAAGAUCAAGAGGUCCAAAGGAGUCGAAUGUUCCAGGAGCAAUACAAUCAGA